AUUGAACGCUGGCGGCAUGCCUAACACAUGCAAGUCGAACGGUUUUGGAGCUUGCUCCAAGAUAGUGGCGGACGGGUGAGUAACGCGUAGGAAUCUGCCUUGUAGAGGGGGACAACCCGGGGAAACUCGGGCUAAUACCGCAUAAUAAUCGAGAGAUGAAAGGGUGGGACCUUAGGGCCACUCGCUAUAAGAUGAGCCUGCGUUGGAUUAGCUAGUCGGUGGGGUAAAGGCCUACCAAGGCGACGAUCCAUAACUGGUCUGAGAGGAUGACCAGUCACACGGGGACUGAGAAACGGCCCAGACGCCUACGGGAGGCAGCAGUGGGGAAUAUUGGACAAUGGGGGCAACCCUGAUCCAGCACGGCCGCGUGUGUGAAGAAGGACUGCGGGUUGUAAAGCACUUUUAGCGAUGAGGAAGAGGUUAAGUCGAAUAGGCUUAGCUUUUGACGUUAGUCGCAGAAGAAGCACCGGCUAACUCUGUGCCAGCAGCCGCCGCGG
RNAcentral lists this ribosomal RNA (497 nucleotides) under uncultured bacterium. RNAcentral describes it as "partial 16S ribosomal RNA". It matches the Rfam family "Bacterial small subunit ribosomal RNA", at positions 30 to 523 of the family's 1533-position model. The record is from RNAcentral.